AUUGAACGCUGGCGGCAUGCCUUACACAUGCAAGUCGAACGGCAGCGCGGACUUCGGUCUGGCGGCGAGUGGCGAACGGGUGAGUAAUACAUCGGAACGUACCCUGUUGUGGGGGAUAACUAGUCGAAAGAUUAGCUAAUACCGCAUACGACCUGAGGGUGAAAGUGGGGGACCGGAAACGGCCUCAUGCAGCAGGAGCGGCCGAUGUCUGAUUAGCUAGUUGGUGGGGUAAAGGCCCACCAAGGCGACGAUCAGUAGCUGGUCUGAGAGGACGAUCAGCCACACUGGGACUGAGACACGGCCCAGACUCCUACGGGAGGCAGCAGUGGGGAAUUUUGGACAAUGGGGGCAACCCUGAUCCAGCAAUGCCGCGUGUGUGAAGAAGGCCUUCGGGUUGUAAAGCACUUUUGUCCGGAAAGAAAUCGCGCUGGUUAAUACCUGGCAUGGAUGACGGUACCGGAAGAAUAAGCACCGGCUAACUACGUG
This 486-nucleotide ribosomal RNA is filed under the name uncultured bacterium. Its description in RNAcentral is "partial 16S ribosomal RNA". It matches the Rfam family "Bacterial small subunit ribosomal RNA", at positions 30 to 507 of the family's 1533-position model. The record is from RNAcentral.